GGAAGCGGCCGCGGCGGGCCGGCGGGGGGCGCGUGGGAAGGGCCGGCGGGUUCCGUGGCGGCCCUCAGAGCUGUCCGCCGCCUGAGGAGGGCCCUCGUCCCGGCGGGACCCGGCGCCGCGAUGUGUCCUGGAAAGAGGAAUUCUUACAGAGAGAUGUGAUGAAAUACUGCCAUGCAUGAAGGAAGUGACUGUUAAGGAGAGCAAAAAAGACAAUUUCCAAGCAUGGUAAAAGAUGAAACCCAACAAGUACUUCAAAAGAAACACUGCAGACCUCUCAGAAAUGCCUGUGGACUACUGAUGGUCUUCAAAGAAUUUGGGCGGCACUAUGGAGCAGCGUUAAUCACUGCAGAUAAUUAGAUUGGAGGACAGCCAGCAUAGCCUGUCAUCUGGACAUCAUCAAACAAUUGCAACUGCAACGUCCUGCUCCUGUGAGUGAACACCCAAACAGCACGUGGCUACAGACUGCAGGGCAUGACUGUGCAGGUCGAGGUGCGUUUGGGGCUGUGGCAGUUUAAAGAUUUUUAUGGAAUCCCUGUAUCCUAACACUGAUACUCAAAGGGAAGUUAAGAUGUCCAUUUCACUGAGUACUCCCUAUGUCUUGCCACAACUAUAGAUAAAAGAUGCAGAUGUUCACAAGGGAUUCCGUGUAUCCCUUGGUGGUGGUGAACAGUUUUCUGCAGAUGAGUCUAAGGCUUCAGAGACUUGUGGCAAAUGGUACCUGGUGUGCAAGGAGGAGCCCAGAGCCUGAGGUCUCAAGAAAGGUUGUAGAUUAAUAUGUGGGGCAACUUUUUGUUCUUUGGAGCCCAGGUCUCAUCCUUGUUGCUGUGUACUUAGCAUGUGUAAUCAGACAUAAGGUAAUUCUUAAUACAGCAGCUCUUACCACUUCAUUUUGAACUUGCUGUAUAUUUUGUAUUCAGGUGCAGGCAACACAUUCCAGGAAGAAUAAUUGAAUCCUUGAAAAUGGGAGUACAUAAGAAGUACAGAGUAAAUGCAUUUACUUUUGGCAGAAAUUCUGGACAGUGCAGUACUUGAUCCAAGGGAGUAAGAAGGCUAUUAUCAUCCAUUAUCUUUCUGUGCUUAAAGCCACAUUUUCCUGAGUGCUUUUCCCCUGUGUGAGUGCUGAUACUUUCAGUGUAAGGAAGGAUCUGAGGUUCCCUUACAGUGGUUAUACUGCAUCACCUCAUGUUCUCGAAUGUAAGAUGCACUACCAGUCGCUCAUGGACAGUGACUUUCAUCAGACAGAGCGAUUUGAAGAUCAGAGGUUGCUAGGAAUAAACAGAGAGUUUAUAAUGAACAGAAAAAUGAAUUCAUUAAAAGAAAGUGCUACAUCUUAGAGUUCGGGAAGAUUAGGGAUACAGGAUAAUUGCAGACGUCCGGUGGAGCUGGAUCUGGCUAAGGAAAUUAAAAAAAUGCUGCAGAAGUCCUUAGUCAUGUAAAGCAGUAAUUUCACAACAUAAAAAUGUAUGAUUUGCGUUUAACUUCGGUGAAAUUUUUGCUGAGGUCAGUAUAGAAAAUUACAAUGCUGCAUAUCAAAUUAUAGUUCCU
This is a long non-coding RNA of Gallus gallus (chicken), 1545 nucleotides long. The record is from Ensembl. NCBI's taxonomy places the organism in Eukaryota, Metazoa, Chordata, Aves, Galliformes, Phasianidae.